AUCGAACGCUGGCGGCAUGCCUUACACAUGCAAGUCGAACGGCAGCGGGGGAGAAGCUUGCUUUUCCUGCCGGCGAGUGGCGAACGGGUGAGUAAUACAUCGGAACGUGCCCUGUAGUGGGGGAUAACUAGUAGAAAGAUUAGUUAAUACCGCAUACGACCUGAGGGUGAAAGUGGGGGACCGCAAGGCCUCAUUCUAUAGGAGCGGCAGAUGUCUGAUGAGCUAGUUGGUGGGGUAAAGGCCUACCAAGGCGAAGAUCAGUAGCUGGUCUGAGAGGACGAUCAGCCACACUGGGACUGAGACACGGCCCAGACUCCUACGGGAGGCAGCAGUGGGGAAUUUUGGACAAUGGGCGAAAGCCUGAUCCAGCAAUGCCGCGUGUGUGAAGAAGGCCUUCGGGUUGUAAAGCACUUUUGUCCGGAAAGAAAUGGCCUUGGUUAAUACCUGGGGUCUAUGACGGUACCGGAAGAAUAAGGACCGGCUAACUACGUGCCAGCCGCCGCCGUAA
This 508-nucleotide ribosomal RNA is filed under the name uncultured bacterium. RNAcentral's name for it is "partial 16S ribosomal RNA". It matches the Rfam family "Bacterial small subunit ribosomal RNA", at positions 30 to 523 of the family's 1533-position model. The record is from RNAcentral.